GUGAGGAAUAUUGCGCAAUGGGCGAAAGCCUGACGCAGCGACGCCGCGUGGAGGAUGAAGGUCUUCGGAUCGUAAACUCCUGUCGAGCGGGACGAAGUCCGGGGGGGUGAACAAUCCCUCCGGUUGACGGUACCGCUGGAGGAAGCCCCGGCUAACUCCGUGCCAGCAGCCGCGGUAAUACGGAGGGGGCCAGCGUUGUUCGGAAUCAUUGGGCGUAAAGGGCGCGUAGGCGGCCACGCAAGUCGAAUGUGAAAUCCCUCGGCUCAACCGAGGAACUGCAUCCGAAACUGCGAGGCUCGAGUCCUGGAGAGGGUAGUGGAAUUCCCAGUGUAGCGGUGAAAUGCGUAGAUACUGGGAGGAACACCGGUGGCGAAGGCGGCUACCUGGACAGGUACUGACGCUGAGGCGCGAAAGCCAGGGGAGCAAACAGGAUUAGAUACCCCAGUAGUCC
This 451-nucleotide ribosomal RNA is filed under the name uncultured bacterium. RNAcentral's name for it is "bacterial SSU rRNA". It matches the Rfam family "Bacterial small subunit ribosomal RNA", at positions 354 to 796 of the family's 1533-position model. The record is from RNAcentral.